CCGCGCCGGCCAUCACCACGGCCGCGUCGUACCGCUAGCCGUCGCACGGCCACAUGGCCAGGCCAGCGCUGAAGACGCUCACCGCCGGUGCACGGGAGGCCAAGGACGAGCUCAUCCGCCUCUGCACAAGCGGCCGCCUCAAGGACGCCGUCCGCCACCCCUUCCGCGACGUCCUCUGGUCGGACGUCAGCCUCUUCGCGCACGUCUUCCGGGCCUGCCGCGCCGUCCCGCUCCUCCGCCAGCUCCACGCCUUCGCCGCCACCUCGGGCGCCGCCGCCGACCGCUUCACCGCCAACAACCUCCUGCUGGCCUACGCGGACCUGGGCGACCUCCCCACCGCGCGCGACCUGUUCGACAGAAUCCCCAAGCGGAACGUCAUGUCCUGGAACAUUCUGAUCGGGGGCUACAUCAAGAACGGCGACCUGGGAAGCGCGCGGACGCUGUUCGACGAGAUGCCCGCGAGGAACGUCGCCACCUGGAAUGCCAUGGUCGCUGGGCUCACCAAUGCAGGGCUUGACGUGGACAGCCUGCACUUCUUCCUCGCCAUGCGAAGGGAGGGGUUGCAUCCCGACGAGUUCGGCCUGGGGAGCGUGUUCAGGUGCUGUGCUGGGCUCGCCGAUGUCGUCUCUGGGCGCCAGGUCCAUGCCUAUGUCGUGCGGUGUGGGAUGGACACUGACAUGUGCGUUGGGAACUCCUUGGCUCACAUGUACAUGCGGUGCGGGUGCCUUGCACAAGGCGAGGCCGUUCUCCAGGCGCUUCCGUCUCUGACGGUUGUGUCAUUCAAUACCACGAUCGCUGGCAGGACGCAGCAUGGCGACUCGGAGGGAGCACUGGAGUACUUCUCCAUGAUGAGAGGUGUUGGGAUCACGGCAGAUGUGGUCACCUUCGUUAGUGUUAUUACCUCUUGCUCGGACUUGGCAGCCCUUGCACAAGGUCAACAGGUUCAUGCACAGGUUAUCAAGGCUGGAGUAGACAAGGUUGUGCCAGUCAUUACUUCCCUUGUGCACAUGUACUCUCGAUGCGGAUGCUUAGGUGACUCGGAAAGAGUUUACUCUGGUUAUGGUGGAUUAGAUCUUUUCCUCCUCAGCGCAAUGAUCUCUGCUUGCGGGUUCCAUGGGCAAGGACAUAAAGCAGUUGAGCUCUUUAAACAGAUGAUGAAUAGAGGGGCUAACCCUAAUGAGGUUACUUUCCUGGCCCUGCUAUAUGCGUGCAGCCAUAGUGGUCUGAAAGACCAAGGCCUGGAGUUCUUUGAGCUUAUGACUAAGACUUAUGGACUGCAGCCAAGUGUGAAACACUACACUUGUAUUGUGGAUCUGCUUGGGCGAUCAGGUUGUCUGGAUGAAGCAGAGGCCCUUAUCUUGUCAAUGCCUGUACGUGCUGAUGGGAUCAUAUGGAAGACACUGCUGUCUGCCUGUAAGACCCAGAAGAAUUUUGACAUGGCCGAGCGGAUAGCCGAACGAGUCAUUGAGUUUGACCCUCAAGACUCUGCGCCUUAUGUUCUGCUAUCAAAUAUUCGUGCUACCAGCAAGAGAUGGGGAGAUGUUAGUGAAUUAAGAAAAAAUAUGAGGGAGAAGAAGGUGAGAAAGGAGCCUGGUGUCAGCUGGGUGGAACUUAAGGGCCAGGUGCACCAGUUUUGCACUGGGGAUAAAUCACAUCCAAGACAAGGGGAGAUCAUUGAGUACUUGGAAGAAAUGAUGGCCAAGAUUAGGGAAUGUGGCUAUGCACCAGAUAUGAGCAUGGUGUUCCAUGAUAUGGAGGAUGAGGAGAAAGAGGUUAGCUUAACUCACCACAGCGAGAAAUUGGCAAUAGCAUUUGCGCUUCUGAGCUUACCUGAAGGAGUUCCUAUCCGAGUAAUGAAGAAUCUACGUGUGUGCGAUGACUGCCAUGUUGCUAUCAAGUUGAUAUCUCAGGUCACUGGUCGAGAGAUUGUGGUGAGAGACGUAAGCCGCUUUCACCAUUUCAGAGAUGGCAAAUGCUCUUGUGGAGAUUAUUGGUGAUGGGAGCAUUCAGCUGUGGGAAUAUCUUUCCCAUCUGCUGCAGGAACAAGAUUUGGACACUUGGUUCGUGGACAUUUUGAGGUCACCAGGUUGUUCAUGAAGUUGGAUAUUGUGCUUCCGGAGGUUCUGAUCCUUCUGAGAGCAAGGUACAGAAGAAAACUAACAGUACAAUAAUACUGUACUUGUAGCAACAAUGGUGCAAAGCUGCAAAACUGAAGGCAAGUCUCUUUUGCUUGUCAUGCAGUAUACUUUGAUUUGAAUGUCAAUUAGGUGCUUUUUUCUUCAGUCGAUGUAUAUUUUGAUCAAUAAGAACA
Molecule: non-coding RNA, 2311 nt
Organism: Lolium perenne
Lineage: Eukaryota; Viridiplantae; Streptophyta; Magnoliopsida; Poales; Poaceae
Source: RefSeq, a predicted model, not a curated record